AUUGAACGCUGGCGGCAUGCUUUACACAUGCAAGUCGAACGGCAGCGCGGGCUUCGGCCUGGCGGCGAGUGGCGAACGGGUGAGUAAUGCAUCGGAACGUGCCCAGUAGUGGGGGAUAGCUCGGCGAAAGCCGGAUUGAUACCGCAUACGACCUGAGGGUGAAAGCGGGGGACCGAAAGGCCUCGCGCGAUUUGAUCGGCCGAUGUCGGAUUAGCUAGUUGGUGGGGUUAAGUCUUACCAAGGCGGCGUUCCGUAGCUGGUCUGAGAGGACGACCAGCCACACUGGGAGUGAGACACGGCCCAGACUCCUACGGGAGGCAGCAGUGGGGAAUUUUGGACAAUGGGGGCAGCCCUGAUCCAGCCAUGCCGCGUGCGGGAAGAAGGCCUUCGGGUUGUAGACCGCUUUUGUUCGGGAAGAAAUCCUCUGGGCUAAUACCCCGGGGGGAUGACGGUACCGGAAGAAUAAGCACCGGCUAACUACGUG
RNAcentral lists this ribosomal RNA (484 nucleotides) under uncultured bacterium. Its description in RNAcentral is "partial 16S ribosomal RNA". It matches the Rfam family "Bacterial small subunit ribosomal RNA", at positions 28 to 507 of the family's 1533-position model. The record is from RNAcentral.